RNAcentral lists this ribosomal RNA (1468 nucleotides) under Babesia ovata. Its description in RNAcentral is "Bacterial large subunit ribosomal RNA". It matches the Rfam family "Bacterial large subunit ribosomal RNA", at positions 1320 to 2925 of the family's 2925-position model. Lineage: Eukaryota; Apicomplexa; Aconoidasida; Piroplasmida; Babesiidae. The record is from Rfam by way of RNAcentral.
AGAAAAUAAUCUAAUACUCCGAAUAUUUAUAGAUUUCCUAUUAAAUGAAUUAAUCAAAUAGGGUUAGUCGAAGUCUAAAAAUAAAUAAUAAGUUUAUUUGAUGGAUAAUAAGUUAACAUUCUUAUACUAUAAUAAACUAAAUUUAUAUUGAAUUUUAAUUAGAUUGUUCUAAUUAACUAGAAAUAUUCAAUUUAAAAUGUUUAUUUAUAUUCGUAUUAAAUCUGACACAAGUAAAUAGGUAGAAAAUAUACUAAGGAGGUGAAUAAAUUUUCUUUAAGGAACUAGGCAAAAUUAUUCUGUAACUUAGGGACAAAGAAUGCUUUUAAAGUAUAACAUACUAGGCUCAAACGACUGUUUAUCAAAAACACAGGUUCUUGCUAAAUUUAAUAAUGAUGUAUAAGAACUGACUCCUGCCCAGUUCUAGUAAGUUAAAAAGAAAUAUUACUAUUAUAUAUUUUUUUAAGCUCUAGUUAAACGGCGGCUGUAUUCAUAACGGUCCAAAGGUAGCGAAAUUCCUUGUCGGGUAAGUUCCGACCUGCAUGAAAGGAGUAACGAUUUGAGCGCUGUCUUAAAGAAAAUUUCAAUGAAAUAAUAAUGUCUGUGAAGAUACGGACUAUUUACACAAGGACAGAAAGACCCUAUGAAGCUUUACUAUAAUUUAUAAGUAUAAUUUAUAUACUAUUUAUGUAGAAUAUAUGGUCAAAAUAUUAAUUUAUUUUUAUAAAUGAAAUACCAUUUUUAUAGUUAUUAAAUUAUUAAUAAUGUUAAAUAUAAAUAUUUAAUUAAAUAUUUAUAAAUCUGAUAGUUUUACUGGGGCGGUGUCCUCCUAAAUGGUAACGGAGGAGAACUAAGGGUAUUUAAUUAAUAUCUAUAAAGAUAUUAAAAAAUUUUAAAGAAAAAUAAUACCUUAACUGUUAAAUAAACUUAUUAUACAGAAAUUAACGUUGGUCUUAAUGAUCCGAUAAAUAAAAUUAAUAGAUGUAUUAUCGAUAAACGAAUAAAAGUUACUCUAGGGAUAACAGGCUGAUCUCUCUCGAGAGAUUUGAUAUUGACGGGGAGGUUUGGCACCUCGAUGUCGGCUUAUCGCAUCCUGAAGCUGAAUAAGGUUUCAAGGGUUGGUUUGUUCACCCAAUAAAGCGGUACGUGAGCUGGGUUCAGAACGUCGCAAGACAGUUUGGUCCAUAUCCGGUGUAAAUUAAUAAAACAUUGCGAUAAUUCUUUUUAGUACGAGAGGAAUAAAAGAACUAUAUUAAUUGUGUGCUAGUUAUUUAAUUUUUAUUAAGUAUUCUAUUAGGUAGCAACAUAUAGGUAGAAAAUAAUUGCUGAAAAAAUAUAAGCAAGAAUGUGCAUUUAAAUAUGUUUUAAAAAAAUAAAAAAUUAUUUAUAAACAAAUAAUUACAAUAUAAAAUAUAGUGUAAGUACAGAGAUGUAUUUAGCUGUAUAUUUAUAAAUUUAAAUUUUUAAUUAU